AAGAACAACACUUCCGAGAAGGCGAGAAUUUCGCAAUUCGAAACGAAGGCAAAGCGAUGUUAGCGAUCACUUUGCCAGCAUUUCUACCAAGAUAUUUAUAUUGGCAAUAUUUCUUUGGAAAGAAGGCACAAAUUUGUUAUCUAAAUUAACUGGGAAGUGAGAAAGUUUUUAUUGAAAUGGCAAGUGCUUCAUCAGACAGUGUUCCUGUUGACGAGAUCAAAGAUCUACUUACAUGUACAAUGUGUUUGGAACCUUUGAAUGAUCCAAGAAGCUUGCCUUGCUUUCAUAAUUUUUGUAAAGUGUGUUUAGGUGAGUACAUUUACUUUGUUUAAAGAUCUACUUGUUUGCGUGUUUGUAUAAUUUCACAGUGACCAGUGUGGAACUUCAUAUUAUUUAAUUCGGCGUGAGUUUUGGCUAAAUUGCUGGCGGACCAAAGUAAAGUCGGAAC
Molecule: non-coding RNA, 448 nt
Organism: Paramuricea clavata
Lineage: Eukaryota; Metazoa; Cnidaria; Anthozoa; Malacalcyonacea; Plexauridae
Source: the annotation of a GenBank genome assembly